Molecule: long non-coding RNA, 351 nt
Organism: Cyprinodon tularosa
Lineage: Eukaryota; Metazoa; Chordata; Actinopteri; Cyprinodontiformes; Cyprinodontidae
Exons: 3
Source: RefSeq, a predicted model, not a curated record
AAACAAAAAGGCACAGCCUGGGGCUUUUACACUUCGUUUAUAAUCUUCCCCAAUUUCCUGCAAGUCCAUAAAUUGUUAUUAUCGCAGAGCGCUUGGGCGGGCAGACAAAUCGAGGUGGAGAGGACUGAAUGUGGCUAAUCGGAUCAAAAUUAGUCUGGAGAAAGGUCAUGGAGAAGUGUUUCCCUCGGAGCGUCGUGGAGCAAUAAACUACUGGCCGCCAUGCUGCUUGCCGUUAAGCUUUGAAAUUAGACGUUCCGUCACAAGCAGCAGCUCUCACCUGAGUAUUGGAUUACCGAAACAAAAGAUGAAUAAUUAAUAGAGAGAAAUAGGUUCCUGGCAACAGGAAUGUAA